CCAACAACACAAAAAAUGAUGAGCUAGCAUUGCCUCAAAGACCAAUUACAAGGUUGAGAUCCAAGAAGUUGAAGGAGGCACUUCAAGGAUUCAUGAAGGGAUAUGUUGAAGCUUUGCAAGUUAUUUUAAAGUUGAAGAACAAUCUAACCAUUCCUAGUCAAUUAGACCGAAUGUGACCUUAUUAACGGUUCAAAUUUUGUAUUUGCAUCAAUAAAUUCUUCAUCACUACUUCAGUAGUGGGUAGUUAACCAGUAGUGGAUAGUGGUAUAAAUCAUGAGUCUAUGCAUAGUAGUGGAUAGUUGCAAAGAUUUGGGUCUUAUGAUGCUGUCACUAUGUUCUAUUUAGUUGUUUUGUUUGUAUAGAUUUUUUUCCUAAUUGGACUAGAUUGCCCUAAGGUAUAUAAAGCAUCUCUUUUUUCAUAUUAUGGACAAAUUAUCAUUAUUUAAUACAAUUACUUUACGCGAUUCUUCUUUGAGAGCUGUAGAGAGAUCUUAGUUCUUGAUAUUGUAUUAAGAAUAAGGUUUGAUAGUAACUUGUAUAGUUCUUAUUCAUGUUGCUCCUAAAAUCAAUCAGUUAUAAAUGUUCUUAAUUGCAUGUUAAUUAAAGGUGUUUUAGAUUGUAGAAUUAUUUUUUGAGCUAAGUUCUUUUUAUUUGGGUAUGUGUCGUUUCGGUCUCUAAGUGGCUGGAGUUUUGCAUCAAUUGGUAUCAGAGCUAGGCUUAGUGAUAAUUUUUUUAAUUAUCCUUUUGUGUUUUUGUAUUCAAUUUUGUGUUCAUUAUUGGUUAAAUAUCACUUUGGUUAUUUGGUGUAUGUUCUUCAAUUUUUUUCGUGAUCUUUCCGUUUAGGAUACCUAUUAGAGUUGAAUUCAUUGUUUAGUUGCUGUUCAAAUCGAAUUUUACCCUAAUUUUUGUUUAGGUUGAAUUACUAUCUUUAAUGACUUAGUUUGUGAUUUCUGCCCUAAUUCGUACGUUGCUGUUCUAUUACUCUUAGAAUAGUAUUUCUAGUGUUUUACUUCUGUCCAUAUAAAAAAAACACCAGAAAGAAGAAAAAAAAGAAAAAAAAAUUCUGCAACUUUGAGUCAAUUAUUGAAAUUUCGUUUUAAUAUUGACACCUACUGAUAUAAAUCAUAUUUCAUAUACCUUGAACAUAUUUCUGGACUUGAAAUUUGAAAUACAUAUUUGGGGUAGGUUUAGGGCCAAUUUGAAUAGUAUUUUUAAAAAAUAGUUGUACUUAAUACUUUGUGUUUUAAGUUUUUAUUUUGUUUACUUGCUUUGAAUUAUUUUUGAUGAGUCAAUAUUAAUAUCAAUUAACCUAGGAUUACAUGCUUAGAGAAAACUUCGUGUUAAACACAUCUGUCUCGUCAAUUUUGAUUUUUGGUUUGUCAAUUCGGUGUCUUUCUGUCUAUUCGUUCCUUACACUUAGUUUGACGAAUUGCACAUUGUUGAACAUCUAAUUACACUUAGUACAUGAAAUUUUACUCUUGUGUGCUAAAUCAAUCCGUUUGUUCAUUUUGGUCUGUUUGCAUCUAGUGUUAUUUCCUAUCUUUUCUUGUUAGGUCUUUCUUUGCUUUUCUUGUUAGGUCUUUCUUUGCUUUUUUUGUUAUUUGAAUCAUACAAGUUUGGCUUAUUGAGUUUAUAUUCUGAAGUCAAUUUUGAAAUAUCAAGUGAGUGCUUAAAAGUUAAAUAUGUGAGUUGAGAGAAUUAUGAAUUUUUGUACAAUGUUUGGGCAUAAUUGUAAUACCCGGCUGGACCCCGGCAUCAGAAUUCCUACUUUCCGGCGGAAUCUCCGUUGGAAUCCGGGAUUCAUGGAUGUCAGAGCCUUCUAGAGGGGAAAAAUAGAGGGUUUUGCAAAAUGUUUGUACAUGUUUUUAUGUUUUUGCUUAGGACAAUUGAGUUUUGAAAAGGAAAAGACCAAAGAGGCAAUUGCCAAGUUCGGACGCCGAAAGUUGCAUGCUUUUGCUGCCCCCGAAUCCCCACUUCGGUUGCCGAAGGUGGAGGAGGUUUGCAUGCAGCUUUGGCCGCCAAAGGGGAGUCGGUUGGCCACCUAUAAAAGCCCCUUUGACUGGAAAUGGAGUAUGCUUUCACUCUCUUUUCGUGCAAAGGUAGGUUUUUUAUCCUCUUUUGGUUAUUUUCAUCUUGUUCUUCCAAAUCAUGCAAGCUUUAAUGAGUUUGGAACUUGAUUUUUGAAGUUUUGAGCAAAAGAAGGCAAAGUUGAAAGACUUGGAGCUUUUGGAUCGUUUUCCUCUCCAUCUCUGAGUUAGGACCAUCAAUCCUCUCGAUCUUCAAGAGGUAAGCCUGGAUCCUCACUUCCCCUUAUGUUUUAAGCAUGUUUUAAAGGGUUUAAGAGAGUUUUAUGGCAUGUUUAGAGUGGAUCUAGAAGUUGGAGUAUAUGUUGGUCAUAUGCUAUAUGUGAUGCUAUGAUGUUGUUUGAGGAGUUUGAACUAGUUUUUAAGCUCCUAUAUGUAUGGAUAAGGGUAUAUACAUGGUUAUAAGAGGUUGGUUGCAUGUUGAGCGUGUUUGGUAAGGUUUUGGAGGCUGAAUAUGCAUGUGUGACCCGAGUUCUGCCUUCUUGGAGAACUCAGGUUCGGCCGCCGAAGCAAGGUUCGGCCUCCGAACCCCUUAUGGAUGCUGUUUUGGCCGCCUAAACUCGCCCCCGAAGGUUUUCACUUUCGGCUCUAGAGGGAGUUUCGGCCGCCGAACAUGCCGCCGAAGGUGGGUGACUUUUGGCUCUGAAAGGUCUUGCAGCCCCCGAACCUUGCCCCCGAAAGUUUAGACUUUCGGAUCUGGAAGGGACUUUCGGCCGCCGAAGGUGCCGCCGAAAGUGCAUGAGUUUCGGAUCUGGAGAGGGGUUCGGCCGCCGAAGGUGCCGCCGAAAGACCCCUGUCCAGCCUUCCUUUGCUUGCUUUUCCAUGAUUGAUUGAGAUGUUUUAGGGGGUUUUUGGGGGAAUGUUUAGAGUUAUAUUUGAGUAUGUCGGUACCUCAUUUGAGUCCACCUGUGUAGGUUCGGACCUGAGGAACCAAGGAGGCCCUCAGUGUUAGCUGGUUCAGAGGUAUUCCAGCGUCUACUAGAUGUGAGUAGAACUGAACUAUAUUUUCACUUAACUAAAUUUUGAUCCUUAGAUCAGUCUUUGCAACUGAUGAUGGAGAUCUCUAUGGUAACAAGUAGGCACAUAUUUCUUCCUCAUGAUUCUCUUCAUCUAUUCCCAAGUAGCAAUAGGUAACUCUCCAUUCCUUCUCCUAUAUUUCACAAGCUCAUCCCACCAUAUUAGUGCAUAAUCUGAAAAAUUAAGACCAGUAAGUUUUACCUCUUUAUCAUCGGAAUAGCUUUGACAGUUAAAAAUCAUCUCCACUUUACUCUCCCACUCUAAAUAGGCAUCAACAUUAGCUUACCAUUGAAGCUUGAAAUUUUCAUCUUUAUGCAGUUCAUAUUAUUAUCUACAUAGGGUACACGAUCAUUCAACCUUCUGGCUCAGAAAGGAGCUGACUGUGCCUUAUUUUCCUAUUCAUAAGAUAGAUCGUGUGUAUCAUCAUCCUCCUAAUUAGACUUGCCCUUUGAAAAUCUAAGGUUGUCCUCAAGGUUGUCCUCAAGGUUAUCCAUUCUCAAAUUUAGCUUUUGAAAGCUAUCCAUGAAAGUUUUAUGCAUAACUUUAAGAUCAAGCGUAGAGUUAGAAGUAUCACCAGUAUUAUUGUAACGACCCAGAGACCGGACCGCUACCAGCGCUAGGAUCCAGAUCGGCUUAAGGCCGCUGGGACCCAUAGCAAGCCUGCUAUGCACUCUGUAAACCUGGUAAAUCCCAUACAUGAUCAACCAUUUCCAUAAAAAAUUUUGAAACUUUUCAUCUACCAAGCUUAACCUGUACAUGUACAAUUACUCUGUAAACAUAAAACCCCAUACUAGAGCCCUCAUCAAAUGCUUUAGUUGGGUCAUCAUUCAUAUAUUAAGCUUGGUCCUCAACAUAUAUCAUUAUAAAUCAUAAUAAUAUACAGAUCAUGUACAAAAGGAAAUAACCAGCUCUAGGGCCAAGCACAACUCUAUCACCAAUAUACAUUACAUGACUCUAUAUCAUUUUACACUACAUGUCCACUACUGAACUAUUACAUAACUUUACUCCGGUAGCUAUCCCAUGCUAUCUCUGGCCCUGCAAACCUGGGGGUUAAGGAGAGGGGUGAGCUACUAGAGCCCAGUGAGUAGAGCACUAAGAAAAUCAAUAAAACAUGCCUCCAUGAAAUGCAUCACAUCACAAACAAGUCAUAUCAAGGAUGAACUUGUCACCAAUAGUCCUCAUACAUAUCAAUAAUGCCAGGGCGUAGCAUGGGCUCUUGGUCUUUCUCAUAACAUAACAAUAACACUAUCAUGCCAGUGGCGUAGAAUGGGCCUCUGGUCUUUCUCUUACAUGGUGCCAGGGCGUAGCAUGGGCCUCUAGACUUUCUCAUAUAGCAUGCCAGGGCGUAGAAUGGGCCUCUGGACUUCCCUCAAGGACUAAAGGAUCAUCCAACAUUCAUCCACAUCCAUAACAUAUAAUGCAAUGCAACAUAUUCGUGAGUUCGAAUGCAAUACAUCCUAAUACACAUGGCAUUUAUGAUGCAUGAGUCAUGCUAAAACCUUUUAGUUAAGUGAAAAUAUAGUUCAGUUCUACUCACCUCUAGUAGACGCUGGAAUACCUCUGAACCAGCUAACACUGAGGGCCUCCCUGGUUCCUCGGGUCCGAACCUACACAGGUGGACUCAAAUGAGGUGCUGACAUAAUCGAAUAUAACUCUAAACAUUCCCCCAAAAACCCCCUAAAACAUCUCAAUCAAUCAUGAAAAAGCAAGCAAAGGAAGGCUGGACAGGGGUCUUUCGGCGGCACCUUCGGCGGCCGAAAGUCCCUUCCAGAUCCGAAAGUCUAAACUUUCGAGGGCAAGGUUCGGGGGCUGCAAGACCUUCCAGAGCCGAAAGUCACCCACCUUCAACGGCACGUUCGGCGGCCGAAACUCCCUCUAGAGCUGAAAGUGAAAACCUUCGGGGGUGAGUUUAGGCGGCCAAAACAGCAUCCAUAAGGGGUUCAGCGGCCGAACCUGAGUUCUCCAAGAAGGCAGAACUCGGGUCACACAUGCAUAUUCAGCCUCCAAAACCUUACCAGACACGCUCAACAUGCAACCAACCUCUCAUAACCAUGGAUAUACCCUUAUCCAUGCAUAUAGGAGCUUAAAAACUAGUUCAAACUCCUCAAACAACAUCAUAGCAUCACAUAUAGCAUAUGACCAACAUAUACUCCAACUUCUAGAUCCACUCUAAACAUGCCAUAAAACUCUCUUAAACCCUUUAAAACAUGCUUAAAACAUAAGGGGAAGUGAGGAUCCAGGCUUACCUCUUAAAGAUCGAGAGGAUUGAUGGUCCUAACUCAGAGAUGGAGAGGAAAACGAUCCAAAAGCUCCAAGUCUUUCAACUUUGCCUUCUUUUGCUCAAAACUUCAAAAACCAAGUUCCAAACUCAUUAAAGCUUGCAUGAUUUGGAAGAACAAGAUGAAAAUAACCAAAAGAGGAUAAAAAACCUACCUUUGCACGAAAAGAGAGUGAAAGCAUACUCCAUUUCCAGUCAAAGGGGCUUUUAUAGGUGGCCAACCGACUCCCCUUCGGCGGCCAAACCUGCAUGCAAACCUCCACCACCUUCGGCAGCCGAAGUGGGGAUUCGGGGGCAGCAAAAGCAUGCAACUUUCGGCGGCAGAACUUGGCAAUUGCCUCUUUGGUCUUUUCCUUUUCAAAACUCAAUUGUCCUAAGCAAAAACAUAAAAACAUGUACAAACAUUUUGCAAAACCCUCUGUUUUUCCCCUCUGGAAGGCUCCAACAUCCAUGAAUGUCGGAUUCCAACGGAGAUUCCGCCGGAAAGUAGGAAUUCUGAUGCCGGGGUCCAGUCGAGUAUUACAUUCUCCCCCCCUUAAGAACAUUCGUCCUCGAAUGUUCCUCUCUACCAUAAGCAUACAAUAACCAUAACAUGAACAUAGCAUAAAAACACAAAAGAGAACAUAAACUCUAACCUCAAAAGAGGUAGGGAUAUUGCUGGAGCAUAGACUCCCGUGUCUCCCAGGUACACUCUUCAAGAUUAUGGUGGUUCCAAAGGACUUUCACCAUCGGGAUCUCCUUGUUUUUUAGCUUCCGGAUCUGCGUGUCUAGAAUUCGCACUGGCUGCUCAACAUAGGUGAGAUCACCAAGGAUCUCUACAUCAGGCUCACUACGAACCUUGCCCGGAUCUGACACGAACUUUCAUAGCAUAGAAACGUGGAAAACCAGAUGGAUUCUUUCCAUAGAAGUAGGUAAAUCUAACUUAUACGAUACAUUCCCAAUCUUCUGCAAGAUCUCGAAGGGUCCAAUGUACCGUGGAGCUAAUUUACCUUUCUUCCUAAAACGAACCACCCCUUUCAUUGGAGACCCUUUGAGCAACACCAACUCUCCCUUCUGAAACUCUAGCUGCUUCCUAUGAACAUCUGCAUAGCUUUUCUGCCGACUCACAGCAGUUUUGAUUCUUUCUCUGAUCAUAGGCACUACCCUGCUGGUGAUUUCAAUCAACUCAGGCCCAGCUAAGGACCUAUUUCCAACUUUUUCCCAGCAAACAGGUGACCUGCACUUCCUCCCAUGAAGAGCUUCAUAUGGAGCCAUCCCUAUGAUAGCAUGAUAGCUGUUAUUGUAGGCAAACUCCACCAAAGAUAGAUGCUGCCUCCAAGUACCGCCAAAAUCUAGCACACACAUUCUGAGCAUAUCUUCAAUAGUCUGGAUGGUCCUCUCUGACUGUCCGUCAGUCUGUGGAUGGAAAGCAGUACUAAAGUCCAACCUUAUGCCCAUCGCAUUCUGCAGACUCCGCCAAAACCUGGAGGUGAACUGGGGUCCUCUAUCAGACACAAUUGAAAUAGGAGCCCCAUGCAACCUAACCACCUCAUCAACAAACACCUGGGCCAACUUGUCUACAGAGUAGCCACUCCUGACCGGGAUGAAAUGAGCAGAUUUGGUCAGUCUGUCCACAAUCACCCAUAUGGAGUGUAGUCUGUUCGAUACUGCCGGUAACUCCACUACAAAAUCCAUAGCUAUAUUCUCCCAUUUUCACUCUGGAAUCGGCAGUGGGUUAAGCAUUCCAGCCGGCUUCUGAUGUUCCAGCUUCACCCUCUGACAUACCUCGCAAGCUGACACAAACUGUGCCACCUCUCUCUUCAUGGCUGGCCACCAAUAAACUCGUUUCAAAUCCUGGUACAUCUUGGUGGCUCCCGGGUGAACACUGUACCUGGCACUAUGAGCUUCCCUCAUAAUGUCUCCUUUUAGGCUCACAUCAUCUGGUACACAUAACCUGGUUCCAUAGCGGAGGAUCCCUGUAUUGUCAAAUCUAAACUCUUCAUUGCUGCCUAACUGAACAGUCCUGGCAAUCUUUAUUAACUCUGGGUCCUCGUGCUGUUUUUGAGCCACCUGCUCCAGAAAUACAAGCGUCACUCUCAUCUGAGCGAUCAAGGCACCUGUACCAGACAACUCGAACUGCAACCCCUCAUCAAGGAGCUUAUAGAAUUCUCUCACCACCGGUCUUCUCUCUACUGCAAUAUGGGACAAACUGCCAAAUGAUUUCCGGCUUAGGGCAUCUGCCACAACAUUUGCCUUACCCGGAUGGUACUGAAUAGUACAAUCAUAGUCACUAAGCAGUUCUACCCACCUCCUCUGCCUCAAAUUCAACUCUCUCUAACUCAAGAUGUACUGCAAGCUUUUAUGAUCUGUGAAGAUCUCACAUUUAACCCCAUAAAGGUAAUGCCUCCAUAUCUUAAGUGCAAAGAUCACAGCUACCAUCUCUAGGUCAUGUGUAGGAUAAUUCAACUCAUGCUUCUUCAACUGCCUAGAAGCAUAAGCAAUUACCCUCUCAUUCUGCAUCAACAUACAACCUAGUCCCACUCUGGACGCAUCACAAUACACUGUGAAGUCUGCAUUGCUGACAGGCAGAGCUAAGACUGGUGCUGAAGUCAACCUUUCCUUGAGCUAUUCAAAACUUUCUUCACAUUGGUCAGACCACACAAAAGUCUAAUUCUUCUUUGUGAGUCUAGUCAUAGAAGCAGCAAUCUUAGAGAAGUCCUGAACGAACCUCUUGUAAUAGCCUGCCAAACCCAGAAAACUCUUAACCUCUGACACUGUCGUGGGUCUCGGCCAGUUGGCUACAACUUCUAUCUUCUUGGGGUCUACUUCAAUGCCUUGGUCUGAUACAACAUGCCCCAAGAAAGAAAUACUCCUUAACCAGAACUCACACUUGGAGAACUUGGCAUACAAGCCAUGCUCCCUCAAGGUCUGCAACACUAGCCUCAGAUGAUGGGCAUGCUCUUCUGCAUUCCUGGAAUACACUAAAAUAUCUUCUCUGCUUGUCCUGCUAGACCUUGCCCUUGGUAAAGCAGGGGGACGGGCAUCCAUGCCCUCAUCCACUGGUGGAACUCCAGUUAAUCGUGCAGAUCGACGAGUACCUCGCAUUCUGAAUUCUGAAAACACAAUCAUAUACAUAAACAUUAGCAUCAUUUGGUCCAUUUCAAACACAUGAACCCCAUAACAUGCAUAACAUAUCAUGAAUGCACAAGCAAACAGUCAUGGCAUUUCAUAGCAUCAGCAAGACAGGACUCUACAUCCUAUCCUAGUGGACAUGAUUUUUUUUUUGCCUAUUGUGCUUGCCCUUCUAUGACAUCUAUGAGCCCAACACUCUUUAGGUCCGACCAUCUGAACCUAGGGCUCUGAUACCAAUCUGUAAUGACCCGGAGACCAGACCGCUACCAGCGCUAGGAUCCAGAUCGGCUUAAGGCCGCCGGAACCCGUAGCACGCCUGUUAUGCACUCUGUAAACCUGGUAAAUCCCAUACAUGAUCAACCAUUUCCAUAAAAAUUUUUGAGACUUUUCAUCUACUAAGCUUAACCUGUACAUGCACAAUUACUCUGUAAACAUAAAACCCCAUACUAGAGCCCUCAUCAAAUGCUCUAGUUGGGUCAUCAUUCAUAUAUUAAGCUUGGUCCUCAACAUAUAUCAUUAUAAAUCAUAAUAAUAUACAAAUCAUGUACAAAAGGAAAUAACCAGCUCUAGGGCCAAGUACAACUCUAUCACCAAUAUACAUUACAUGACUCUAUAUCAUUGUACACUACAUGUCCACUCCUGAACUAUUACAUAACUUUACUCCGGUAGCUAUCCCAUGCUAUCUCUGGCCCUGCAAACCUGGGGGUUAAGGAGAGGGGUGAGCUACUAGAGCCCAGUGUGUAGAGCACUAAGAAAAUCAAUAAAACAUACCUCCAUGAAAUGCAUCACAUCACAAACAAGUCAUAGCAAGGAUGAACUUGUUAGCAAUAGUCCUCAUACAUAUCAAUAAUGCCAGGGCGUAGCAUGGGCUCCUAGUCUUUCUCAUAACAUAACAAUAACACUAUCAUGCCAGUGGCGUAUAAUGGGCCUCUGGUCUUUCUCUUACAUGGUGCCAGGGCAUAGCAUGGGCCUCUGGACUUUCUCAUAUAGCAUGCGUAGAAUGGGCCUCUGGACUUCCCUCAAGGACUAAAGGAUCAUCCAACAUUCAUCCACAUCCAUAACAUAUAAUGCAAUGCAACAUAUUCGUGAGUUCGAAUGCAAUACAUCCUAAUACACAUGGCAUUUAUGAUGCUAAGGUGGAAAGACAAAGAGGCCAAAGAAGAUGGGGGAGUAAUAGGGCUACUCAAAACUCCAACCACAAAUGGAGUUUCAAAUGGAACACCAAAGCUGAUCCUAAAAGGUUUGAUAAGUCUUCAACUAAAAAAGGCACGUUAUUUUCCAAAGAAAUAUCUAACUCUCAUAGUAAAAAUGAACCAGCCCUUAAAUCUAAUAGGACUAGAGAUAUUCAGUGCUUUAAAUGUAAAGAGCAUGGGCAUUAUGCCAAUGAGUGUGUUAAUAAACAUGUCAUGAUAGUGAGGGGAGAUAAGAUAGUCUCUGAAACUGAUUCUGAUUCUAAUGAAAUGCCAUCUCUAGAAGAUCGUUUUGAUGUAGAGAUAGAAAAGUAUCCUAUUCAGGGAGAAUCCUUAGUGAUAUUGCGUACUUUAAAUAUUUCUAUUAAAGAAGAGAAACUUGAACAGUGCAAAAACAUCUUUCACACUCGUUGUUUGAUAGGUGGUAAAGUCUGUUCCAUGGUAAUAGAAUUGGGUAGGCAAGUUAAUUGUGCUAGUACUAUUUUAGUUGAUAAAUUUGGACAAGAAACUAUUAAAUACCCUAAUCCUUACAGACUUCAAUGGUUGAAAAAUAGUGGUGAGGCAAAGGUAACAAAGUAAUGUAAAGUGCCAUUUUCUAUUGGUAAGUAUGUAGAUGAGGUUAUUUGUGAUAUUAUACCCAUGCAGGCUGGAUAUAUUUUGUUAGGUAAAUCAUGGUAAUUUGAUAGGCGUAUAAUUCAUGAUGGGUAUAGUAAUAGUUUUUUUAUUUUUUACUUUCCUUGGUAUAUACUUGUACUAUUAUCUCCUAAAGAUAUAUAUGUAUAUCAAGUAAAAUUACAACAAUCUACUAAAUUGGAUAAGGGAGGUGAGAUAAGUAAAAAGAAUAAAGGAAAAGAGGCUAGUAGUAAAAAGAAAGUUCGAAUGGCCCAAAGGAGACUGACUGCAUGGGUAAGGGUAAAAAUGAGAGAUGUGUAGGAGAGAAAACAUUAGUGAGUGUAGAGGUAAAAGGAGAGCUGAGUGAGAAGAGUGAAAAAUUCAGCAAGUCUUCCUUUUAUUGUAAAGAGAAAGAGUUGAAGAAAGCAUACUUAGGGAAGAGAGCUUUGAUUAUAUUGCAUUUUAGUUUGAACUUUAUGAUUGAGAUUGACCCUACAGAUAAAUUGCCUAGUUCUUUUUCUAAGUUAUUACAGGAUUUUAUGGAUGUAUUUCCUGAGGAGGUGCCAUCUGGAUUGUUGCCCACUAGGGGAAUAGAAGAUCAGAUCGAUUUUGUUCCUGGAGCUUAAAUUCCAAAUCAUCUAGCUUAUAGGAGUAAUCUUGAGAAGACGAAGAAAUUACAAAGGCAAGUUGAUGAGUUACUGGCUAAGGGACAUAUCAAGAAAAGCAUCAGUCCAUGCGCAAUGCCUAUUUUGCUGGUUCUAAAGAAAGAUAGAACAAUUUACAUGUGUAUUGAUUGUCGUGCCAUCAACAAAAUCACUGUAAAGUAUGCCAUCAUAUUCCUAGAUAUGCUUGAAGAUUAUGUGGUGCUAUUUUCUUUACCAAAAUUGAUUUGAAAAGUAGUUAUCAUCAAAUUAGGUUAGAUUUAGGUGAUGAGUGGAAAACUGCCUUUAAGACUAAGUACGGUUUAUAUGAAUGGUUAAUGAUACCUUUUGGAAUAACUAAUGCACCUAGCACAUUUAUGAGAUUAAUGAACCAUGUUUUACAUGAUUACUUAGGUAAGUUUAUGGUUGUGUAUUUUGAUGAUUAUUGAUUUAUAGCCGAAACUUGGAUGAUUAUAUUAGGUAUGUUGAACUUGUUCUAGAGAAGUUGUGUGAGCAUGAAUUGUAUGUUAAUCUUAAGAAUUGCAUAUUUUGUACUGAUAGUGUCAUAUUCAUAAGAUUCGUUGUUAGUUCACGUGGAGUUGAGGUAAAUACUGAAAAGGUUAAGGCUAUCCAAGAAUGGCCUAUACCUAAAAAUGCUAGUGAGGUGAGAUCCUUUCAUAGAUUAGCAAGUUUAUAUAGGAGGUUUAUUAGAGAUUUUAGCACUAUUGCUGCACCUCUAAAUGAGAUCAUUAAAAAGGCUAUUGGGUUUAAAUGGGGUAAAGAAUAAGAACUUGUAUUUAAUACAUUAAAAGAAAAACUUACUACUGCUCUUGUUCUAAGGUUACCUGAUUUUUUUAAAACCUUUGAAAUCAAAUGUGAUGCUUCUAGGAUUGGUAUUGGUGCUAUUCUUAUGUAGGAAGGCCGACCUAUAGCAUAGUUCAUUGAGAAGCUAGGUGGCGCACAUUUGAACUAUUUCACCGAUGACAGAGUUGUAUGCACUAAUUAGGGCUCUUGAAGUUUGAAAACACUACUUGCUGCCUAAUGAGUUCGUAAUUCAUGCCGACCAUUAGUCUCUCAAACACUUGAAGGGACAAGGUAAGUUGAACAAGCGGCACAGUAAGUAGAUUAAGUAUCUCGAAAUCUUUCCUUAUGUGAUUAAAUACAAGCAAGGUAAGAAGAAUGUGAUUGCUGAUGCAUUAUCUAGACGUUAUGCAUUGAUUUCCAUGAUUAGUUCUAAGUUAUUAGGGUUUGAGCAUUUAAAAGAUAUGUAUGAGAAUGAUACUAAUUUUUCUGAUGUAUUUAAGGCAUGUGAACUUGGAGUGUUUAACAAAUUUUAUUUGCAUAAUGGGUUUCUUUUUAGGGGAAAAUAAAUAUGCAUACCCAAUUGUUUGGUACGUGAGUUGCUUAUUAGAGAAUCACAUUCAAGAAGGUUAAUGGGAUAUUUUGGUGUGCAAAAUACUUUAGACAUGUUGAAUGAAUACUUUUAUUGGCCUAAUAGGCGAAAAUAUAUAGAGAAAAUUUGUGCUUAAUGCUUCGCAUGUAAUAGGCUAAAUCUAAAUCCUUGCCACAUGGGUUGUAUACUCCUUUGCUUGUACCUACUGAAUCUUGGACUGAUAUAUCUAUGGAUUUUAUGAUAGGUUUACCUAGGACAAAAAGCGGUAGAGGUUUUAUGUUUAUUUUUAUAGAUCAGUUUAGUAAGAUGGCACAUUUUAUUCCAUGUUAUAGAACUGAUGAUGCAACGAAUAUAGCUGAUUUAAUUUUUAGGGAAGUAGUCUGUUUGUAUGGUAUACCUAGAACUAUUGUUUCUGAUAGAGAUUCUAAGUUCCUUAGUCAUUUCUAGCGUGUUUUUUUGGGAGAAAUUGAUACUAAACUUUUAUUUUCUACUACUUGUCAUCCACAAACAGAUGGCCAAACUGAAUUUAUUAAUAGGACUUUAGGAACUAUGCUUUGUGUUAUUGUGGGUAAGAACUUGAAAACUUGGAAAGAAUGUUUGCCAUAUAUUAAAUUUGCUUAUAAUCGUGCUGUCCAUUCUUCUAUUGGUUAUUUAUCUUUUGAGAUUGUGUAUGGUUUUAAUCCAUUACCUGUAUUAGAUUUAAUGCCUUUACCUUUGAAUGGGUUGUCUAAUUUAGAUGGAAAAGCGAAGGCUAAAAUGGUUAAAUCAAUACACAUGAAAGCGCACAAGCAUAUUGAGAAGCGUAACAAGACAUAUGAGAAAUAAGCCAAUAAGGGUCACAAGAAAGUUGUAGUCAGACUAGGUGAUUUAGUUUGGAUCCAUAUGCGAAAGGAGAGGUUUCCUAAUCAAAGAAAAUAAAAAUUUGAUGCACGAGGAGAUAGACCAUAUUAAGUGCUGGAAUGGAUCAAUGAUAACACAUACAUAAUUGAUUUGCUAGGUGAGUUUGGUGUAAGUGCUACCUUUAAUGUUUCUGAUUUGUCUCCUUUUGAUUUUGGUAUAGAUUCGAGGACGAAUCCAUUUCAAGAGGGAGGGGAUGAUGUAAGCAUAACCAACAAUACAAAAAAUGAUGAGAUAGCAUUGCCUCAAGGACCAAUUAAAAGGUUGAGAUCCAAGAAGUUAAAGGAAGCACUUUAAGGAUUCAUAAAGGGAUAUGUUGAAGCUUUGUAAGUUCAUUUUGAAGUUGAAGAACAACCUGGCUAUUCCAAGUCAAUUCGGCCGAAUGUGUCCUUAUUGACGGUUUAAAUUUUGUAUUUGUAUCAACGGAUUCCUCAUCACUAAUUCAGUAAUGGGUAGUUAUCCAGUAAUAGGUAGUUAUUCAGUAGUAGAUAACCAGUAGUGGGUUAUUAUCCAGUAGUGGGUAGUUAACCAGUAGUGGGUAGUGGCAUAGAUCAUGGGUCUAUGCAUAAUAGUGGACAGUGGUAAAGAUCAUAGGUGUAAUACCCGGCUAAACUCUAGCGUCAGAAUUCCGACCUUCCGAUUGAAUUCCCGUUGGAAUCUGGAAUUCCCGAAGCUGGAAUCUCCUAAGAAGGGUAAAAUAAGGUUUUAUAAAAUGAAAAUUGAAAAUUUUGAGGUUUUAAGAAAGAAAUAAUAGAGUUUUGAGGAAAAUAGUUUUGGAAGGGAAAAACCAGGUUCGGCCGCUGAACCUUAAGUUUGGCUGCCAAAGGUGGUGCCGCUGAUAUAAGCACGACCAACAACACCAAAAAUGAUGAGUGUAACGACCCCAAAAUGGACCGUCACCGGCGCUAGGAUUCAAGUCGGCUUAAGGCCGCCAAAACACGUAGCAAGCCUGCUAUACUCUCUGAGUACCUGUAAAAUCUCAUACAUGGUCAUACAUUUUCUGUGAAAAUAAAAACUUUUCUCUGUACCAGGGCUUAACCUGUGCAUGCACUAUCUCUGUACUCUGUACCCCUGACUAGAGCUUGCUCUAGAUGGGUUAAUUCAUACCUGUUAAGCCUGGUUUUUCACAUACUCUGUAAAACAGUUCUAUGAACAAACCAUGUAUACACAAUAAUACAAUAACAAUUAAGUCAAGCACAACUCUAACUUUAUACACAACUGUUACAAUCUCUUUAAAUUUACAUGUCCACUAUAUUCUAUUACACAAUACUUCUCUCUUUCUGAACUCUGCUGGACUGUCCCUGUACACUGUACACUGAACCUGCAAAAACUGGGGUUAAGGGAGUGGGAUGAGCUCUAUAGCCCAGUGAGUAGAACAGUAAAACAAGUCAUGAACACCUGAUCUUAUAGAAUGCAUCAUAUCACAGACAAUCCACAUCAAGGGUAAACCUGUCACCACAUAGUCCCGGUAACUCUGCCGUGCCAGGGCGUAGAAUCGAGCACCUGAUCUUCCUGUCAUAUAUGUAUAUGUGUAUAUAACACCUCUGCACUUACCGUUUGCCAGGGCGUAGUCAAAGGCUCCUGGACUUUACUAGAUACCUGCCAGGGCAUAGUCAAAGGCUCCUGGACUUCUCUGUGCCAGGGCGUAGUCAAAGGCUCCUGGACUUCUCUCAGAGACUAUUAGAUCAUUCAGCAUUCACCCACAUCAACAAAUAACUAUGCAAUGCAGCAUAUUCGUGAAUUCUAAUGCAAUCAACCUACUAUAAACUCAUGAUGCAUGAACUAUGCUGAAAGCAGUUUAAUUCUUACUUAAAAGCAUUAAGUUUAGUUCCACUCACCUCUGGCUAGCUCAACUGACUUUGCAGGCUCUGACAAACUCUGGAGCAGUACUCACUGCUGCUCUCUCUGGUUCCUCUGGUCUGUAUAGGUACAGAUAAACUCAAAUGAGGGACCAAACUAGCUUAUGAACAACUCUAUUAAACUCCCCCAAGAAACCCCUUAAACUCACUCUAACAUCCAUGCAAAGCAUGCAAAGGAAGGCUGGACAGAACACUUUCGGCGGCAGGUUCGGCGGCCGAAAGUCCUCUCCAGAGACGAAACUCAAGCACCUUCGGCGGCCGAAUCUCUACUUUCGGCUGCCGAACCCUUUCGGGGGCAAGUUUCAGAGGCCAAAAGGCACUCUAGAGACGAAAGUCUCUAACCUUCGGCGGCACCUUCGGCGGCCGAACUUCCCUCCAGAGCUGAAAGUCCAAAAGCUCGGGGGCAAGCUUGGGCAGCCGAAGCCACCUCCUCAUGGGUUCGGCGGCCGAAUGUACCUUCGGCGGCCGAACCUGAGUUCAUUUGCAAGGCAGAAACUUGCUCUGCCUCUUGCCAAAAGCACCAAAACACAUUCAAACACAAACACCUCAAUUCCUUAACUUGCAUACACCCAAGUAUAUGCUCAAAGGGGUCAACAACUACCUAAAAACCCCAACAACACAAAACAUAUAACACAUAAUCAAGCUCUUCUCACAAAAUCACCAAAAACUCUCUUUUUAACCUAUUCAUGCAACUCUCUCCAUAAACCCCAUAAAUCCAUCAAAAAUCAUAAAAACAAGUUCAGGAUCUUCACUUACCUUUUGAAAUCAAGUAGAUGAAUGAUCCUAACGUGGAGUUUUGAAGCAACUCUUCUUCAAACUCUCCAAAAUUCACAACUUUGUGGUUAAAGCUCAAAGUCUUCAAAAUAACACAAAACUCAAUCAAAUCUUUGCAUGAUUUAAUGAAAACAUGAAGAAAACUCUACAAAGGACAGGGUCUCACCUCAGAAGACAAAAGAAAUGGUGAUCUUACCGCUUCAACCGACUGAGGGCCGUUUUAUAGGUGGCUGGCCAGACCACCUUCGGCGGCCACACGUGAAACCGAAAGCCAUGCAUGUUCGGCGGCCGAACCUGCCUUUUCUGCCUUGGUUCAUUUCACUCAAAAACUCAUUUCUUUUGCUUUCAAACUUGAUGAACAUAUCAAAAAAUGUUAGAAAAACAUAAAUCGAACCCUUCUAGAGACUUCCAACAUCCCGGAUCCCACCGGAAAGCAGAAUUCCGAUGCCGGACUCCAACCGGGUAUUACAUUCUCCCCCCCUUAAGAUCAUUCGUCCUCGAAUGAUCCUAAAACAAAUAACAAACACAUAAAAAGGAGGAAACUAACCUCAAAACAAAUAUGGAUACUGCUGAAGCAUCGAUUCUCGCGUCUCCCAGGUGCAUUCUUCUAGAUUAUGGUGGUUCCACAGAACUUUCACCAUUGAAAUUUCCUUAUUCCUUAGCUGCCUGAUCUGCGUGUCCAGAAUCCGCACUGGCUACUCUAUAUAGGUGAGAUCCCCAAGAAUCUCCACAUUAGGCUCACUCAAAACCUGAUUCGGAUCUGACACAAACUGCCGUAGCAUAGAAACAUGAAAUACCGGGUGAAUUCUCUCCAUAGAAGCAGGUAAAUCUAGCUUAUACGACACAUUCCCGAUCCUCUGCAAGAUCUCAAAGGGUCCGAUGUACCAUGGAGCUAACUUACCUUUUCUUCCAAACCGAACCACUCCUUUCAUUGGAGACACCUUCAGCAAUACCAUAUUCCCCUCCUGAAACUCUAACUGCUUUCUGCGAACGUCUGCAUAACUUUUCUGUCUGCUCUGAGCUGUUCUGAUUCUCUCUCUAAUCAUGGGCACCACUCUACUGGUAAUCUCUACUAACUCUGGCCCUGCAAGAGCCUUCUCUCCUACCUCUUCCCAACAAACAGGGGAUCUGCACUUCCUCCCAUACAAAGCUUCAUAAGGAGCCAUCCCUAUGCUAGCAUGAUGGCUGUUAUUGUAGGCAAACUCCACGAAAGGUAGAUGCUGCCUCCAAGAACCGCCAAAGUCUAACACACAAAGUCGAAGCAUAUCCUCUAUGGUCUGGAUGGUCCUCUCUGACUGUCCAUCAGUCUGUGGGUGGAAAGUAGUACUAAAAUCUAGUCUCAUGCCCAUCGCACUCUGCAGACUUCACCAAAAUCUGGAGGUAAACUGAGGUCCUCUGUCUGAGACUAUAGACACUGGAACUCCAUGCAAUCUCACUAUCUCAUCUAGAUACACCUGAGCCAACUUAUCCACAGAAUAGUUACUCCGAACUGGAAUGAAAUGAGCAGAUUUCGUGAGUCUGUCCACAAUCACCCAUAUAGAGUCUAUCCUGUUGGACGCUGCUGGUAGGCCCACUACAAAAUCCAUAGCUAUGUUCUCCCAUUUCCACUCUGGAAUCGGUAGUGGGUUAAGCAUUCCAGCUGGUUUCUGAUGCUCUAGUUUCACCCUCUGGCAAACUUCACAAGCUGUUACAAACUGCGCCACUUCUUUCUUCAUGGAUGGCCACCAAUAGACCCUCUUCAGAUCCUGAUACAUCUUGGUGGCUCCUGGGUGAACACUAUACCUCGCAUUAUGAGCUUCCCUCAUAAUGUCUUCCUUCAGACUGCUACUAUCUGGUACACAAAGUCGACUCCCAUAGCGAAGGAUCCUUUGCUAUCACAUAUGAACUCUGCACUGUUGCCUGACUGAACAAUUUUGGCAAUUUUCAUCAACUCAGGGUCCUUGUGUUGUUUCUGAGCUAUCUGCUCUAGAAACACAGGUGUCACUCUCAUCUGUGCUAUCAAUGCACCUGUACCAGAUAACUCUAACUGUAACCCUUCUUCUAAGAGCUUGUAAAGCUCCAUCACAACUGGUCUCCGCUCUGCUGCUAUAUGGGCUAAACUGCCUAGUGACUUCCGGCUUAGGGCGUCUGCCACAAUAUUCGCCUUACCCGGAUGAUACUGGAUCUUACAAUCAUAAUCACUGAGCAAUUCUACCCAUCUUCUCUGCCUCAAAUUCAGUUCUCUCUGACUCAAGAUAUACUGUAAACUCUUGUGAUCAGUGAAGAUCUCGCAUUUAACCCCAUAGAGGUAAUGCCGCCACAUCUUGAGUGCAAAAAUAACUACUGCCAUCUCAAGGUCAUGGGUGGGGUAAUUCAACUCGUGCUUCUUCAACUGUCUAGAAGCAUAAGCAAUCACCCUAUCACUCUGCAUCAAAACACAACCUAAUCCCACUCGAGAUGCAUCACAGAACACUGUGAAAUCCUCAUUACUGACAGGCAGAGCUAACACUGGUGCUGAUGUCAAUCUCCUCUUGAGCUCCUCAAAGCUCUCUUCACACUGGUCUGACCAGACAAACUUCUAGUUCUUCUGAGUCAGUUUGGUCAUAGGGGCCGCUAUCUUUGCAAAGUCCUGAAUGAACCUCCUGUAGUAACCUGCCAGUCCCAGAAAGCUUUUAAUCUCAGUCACUGUAGUGGGUCUGCGCCAGUUAGCUACAGCCUCUAUCUUCUUGGGGUCUACCUCAAUACCCUCUGCUGAUACUACAUGUCCCAAGAAGGAAAUUCUCCUCAACCAAAACUCACACUUAGAGAACUUGGCGUAUAACCCAUGCUCUCUUAGUGUCUGCAGAACUAUCCUCAGAUGCUGGGCAUGCUCCUCUGCAUCUCUGGAAUACACCAAGAUAUCGACAAUGAAAACAAUAACAAAGUGAUCCAGAUACUCGCUGAAAACUCUGUUCAUGAGAUCCAUGAAUGCUGCAGGGGCAUUAGUCAACCCGAACGGCAUCACUAAGAACUCAUAAUGCCCAUAUUUGGUCCUGAAAGCUGUCUUUGGCACAUCUGCCUCUCUGACUCUCAACUGAUGAUACCCGGACCUCAGAUCUAUUUUAGAGAAACAACCUGCUCCAGCUAGCUGGUCAAAUAGAUCAUCAAUCCUAGGUAGAGGAUACCUAUUCUUGGUAGUGACCGUGUUCAACUGUCUGUAGUCGAUACAAAGUCUGAGGGAUCCAUCCUUCUUUCUGAAAAAAAGCACUGGAGCACCCCAAGGUGAGGUACUAGGGCGGAUGUAACCCUUGUCUACCAAGUCCUGCAACUGAUUCUUCAACUCUUUUAACUCUUCUGGUGCCAUCCUGUAGGGAGGAAUAGAGAUAGGUCUGGUACCAGGCAUCAAUUCUAUUUCAAACUCUAUCUCCCUAUCAGGUGGUAGUCCUGGAAGUUCGUCUGGGAACACAUCUGGAAACUCUCGAACAAAUGGUAUCGCUGCUGGUUCCCUAACCUGACUGUCUAGCUCUCUCACAUGAGCUAGAAACCCCUGACAACCCCUCCUAAGCAAACGAUGAGCCUGAAGGGCUGAAAUCAAACCUCUGGGUGUACCUCUCCUGUCUCCCCUGAAGACACACUCUGACCCAUCCUGGUCUCUGAGACUAACUAUCUUCUCUCUACAGUCCAAAGUAGCACUAUAUGCAGAUAGCCAAUCCAUUCCUAGAAUGACAUCAAAAUCUAUCAAGUCUAGAACCACAAGGUCAGCUGGAAGGCAUCUACCCUCUAUGAACACUGGACUGAAACGACAGACUGACGCUGCCACCGAUGGGUCACACUUGUGUCCACUGACCCAGAUAGGAUACUUUAACUCAAAACUGAUCAAACGCAAUCUCUCUAUGGCUCUCGAAGCAAUAAAGGAAUGAGAAGCACCGGGGUCCAUCAAAGCAUACACAUCUGAACACCCAAUGAUGAGAUUACCUGACACCACUGUGUUCGAUGUGUUCGCCUCCUCCUGUGUCAAAGUGAAAAUCCGUGCUGGGGCUACCGGAUUUCCACCUCGGGAACCUGCUGUUGAAGUAGAGGCUGCCCCUCUCCCUCUACCUCUGCCACUACUCGGAGGCAUGACUGGAGCUGCUGGCUGUGCUACUGGCUGUACCACACUGCCUGAACUCAUCUGCUGGGAGGGUGCCUCAAAAGUCCCCUGAGGACAAUCCCGAGCAAUAUGCCCUUCCUGUCCACAUCUAAAACAAGCAGUAGAUCCCAAUCGACAAGUUCCUCCAUGUGGUCUUCCGCAUCUCCUGCAUACGGGAUAAGCUGUGCCAGAGCUGGAGCCACUACCUAUUCCCAGACUCGACUUGGCUUUACUCCAGAACUUAUUCUUUAACCCUUUUGCUCUAUCCCAUCUCUUGCUGCCUGACGUGCCUGAACUGGGGGCCUUAGAACCCAAAGCCUGUGCCUUUGACUAUUUCUGAAUAUUGGCACUAGCUUCCAUUUUCCUGGCUGCGUCCACUAUAGAGUGGAAACUCUCCUUUUCUACUGGAAGAAUCAAGGAAGAAUACCUGGGAUGCAGUCUCAUAGUAUAUCUCCUUGCCUUCUUCUGAUCAGUAUCAUAGGCUUGACCCACAUACUGAAGCAAAUCUAGGAACUUAUCUGUAAAUUCAUCAACACUCAUCUCAUCUGUCUGUCGCAACUGUUCAAACUCUAUUACCUUCAUCUCCCUAGAACUGUAAGGAAAAGCCCACCCUGCAAACUCAUUGGCGAACUCUCCCCAUGACAUGCUGUCCAUUCUAGGCUCCACAUAAUUCUUGAACCAUUCUCUGGCUUUCUUGCAUUUCAAUGUGAAACCCGCCAUUUCAAUGGCCCUACUGUCAUUUGCUCCCAACUCACUAGUUAUCAUCCUAACUGAUCUGAGGUAUUCAAAUGGAUCAUCUCCUGUAUUGUAUUUAGGAGCAUCCAAUUUCAAGUACUCUGUCAUCUUCACUUUACUUCCCCCAGAUGAGCUAGGUUGCUGCAUUUGAACUACGGGAGCUACUGGUUCUGGUGGUGGUGGUGGUUCAUUUGGCUCUGGGUGUGUUGCACUUGGAUGAAUAGGGGAGGGUGGAUACAUAGGAUAUGGUGGGUAAUAUGGAGGAUAAGGCAUAUAUGGCAUGUAUGUAGGAUAUGGGACAAAACGAGAGUACUCCGACAUACCUUCCAUCGGAUACCCUGGGUCCUGGGAAAAAACUGGAUAACCAAAACCUGAGGUCUGAGCGCCUCCCUGGGAUUCUCCCAUACUUUCUUCAGAUCUACCCAUGCCCAUACUUUCAUCUCUAGACUGAUCAAUCUCCAUGGCCUCCCUCACUUCCUCUAAUCUUUCUCCUCUCACAGUGCCUCUUCUGCUCUCGUCUACAGACCUUCUAGGGUCUAUUGACGUACCUUCCCUGCUAGAUCUCUGUGACCUUGCCCUUGGCAAUGCAGGAGGACAUGCAGCUAUUCUCUCACUAUCUGGUGGGACUCCAGUCAAUCGAGCUGAUCGACGAGUUCCUCUCAUCUUAACUCUGGAAAACAAAGCAUAUAAUAUAGCACUUUAGCACAUAAACAUCACAUAUCAAUAAUGCACAUGCAUAAGUCAUGGCAUUUCACAACAUUAAAUAGAUAGGACUCAACACCCUAUCCUAGUGGACAUGUUUUCCUAUUGUGCUUGACCACUUUUAACCUCUAUGAGCCCGACACUCUCUCUAUAGGUCCGAUCAUGUGAACCUAGGGCUCUGAUACCAAUCUGUAACGACCCCAAAAUGGACCGUCACCGGCGCUAGGAUUCAAGUCGACUUAAGGCCGCCAAAACCCGUAGCAAGCCUGCUAUACUCUCUGAGUACCUGUAAAAUCUCAUACAUGGUCAUACAUUUUCUGUGAAAAUAAAAACUUUUCUCUGUACCAGGGCUUAACCUAUGCAUGCACUAUCUCUGUACUCUGUACCCCUGACUAGAGCUUGCUCUAGAUGGGUUAAUUCAUACCUGUUAAGCCUGGUUUUUCACAUACUCCGUAAAACAGUUCUAUGAACAAACCAUGUAUACACAAUAAUACAAUAACAACUAAGUCAAGCACAACUCUAACUUUAUACACAACUGUUACAAUCUCUUUAAAUUUAUAUGUCCACUAUAUUCUAUUACACAAUACUUCUCUCUUUCUGAACUCUGCUGGACUGUCCCUGUACACUGUACACUGAACCUGCAAAAACUGGGGUUAAGGGAGUGGGAUGAGCUCUAUAGCCCAGUGAGUAGAACAGUAAAACAAGUCAUGAACACCUGAUCUUGUGGAAUGCAUCAUAUCACAGACAAUCCACAUCAAGGGUAAACCUGUCACCACAUAGUCCCGGUAACUCUGCCGUGCCAGGGCGUAGAAUCGAGCACCUGGUCUUCCUGUCAUAUAUGUAUAUGUGUAUAUAACACCUCUGUACUUACCGUUUGCCAAGGCGUAGUCAAAGGCUCCUGGACUUUACUAGAUACCUGCUAGGGCGUAGUCAAAGGCUCCUGGACUUCUCUAUGCCAGGGCGUAGUCAAAGGCUCCUGGACUUCUCUCAGAGACUAUUGGAUCAUUCAGCAUUCACCCACAUCAACAAAUAACUAUGCAAUACAGCAUAUUCGUGAAUUCUAAUGCAAUCAACCUAUUAUAAACUCAUGAUGCAUGAACUAUGCUGAAAGCAGUUUAAUUCUCACUUAAAAGCAUUAAGUUUAGUUCCACUCACCUCUGGCUAGCUGAACUGACUCUGCAGGCUCUGACAAACUCUAGAGCAGUACUCACUACUGCUCUCUCUGGUUCCUCUGGUCUAUAUAGGUACAGAUAAACUCAAAUGAGGGACCAAACUAGCUUAUGAACAACUCUAUUAAACUCCCCCAAGAAACCCCUUAAACUCACUCUAACAUCCAUGCAAAGCAUGCAAAGGAAGGUUGCACAGAACACUUUCGGCGGCAGGUUCGGCGGCCGAAAGUCCUCUCCAGAGACGAAACUCAAGCACCUUCGGCGGCCGAAUCUCUACUUUCGACUGCCAAACCCUUUCGGGGGCAAGUUUCGGAGGCCAAAAGGCACUCUAGAGACGAAAGUCUCUAACCUUCGGCGGCACCUUCGGCGGGCGAACUUCCCUCCAGAGCCGAAAGUCCAAAAGCUAGGGGGCAAGCUUGGGCAGCCGAAGCCACCUCCUCAUGGGUUCGGCGGCCGAAUGUACCUUCGGCGGCCGAACCUGAGUUCAUCUGCAAGGCAGAAACUUGCUCUGCCUCUUGCCAAAAGCACCAAAACACAUUCAAACACAAACACCUCAAUUCCUUAACUUGCAUACACCCAAGUAUAUGCUCAAAGGGGUCAACAACUACCUAAAAACCCCAACAACACAAAACAUAUAACACAUAAUCAAGCUCUUCUCACAAAAUCACCAAAAACUAUCUUUUUAACCUAUUCAUGCAACUCUCUCCAUAAACCCCAUAAAUCCAUCAAAAAUCAUAAAAACAAGUUCAGGAUCUUCACUUACCUUUUGAAAUCAAGUAGAUGAAUGAUCCUAACGUGGAGUUUUGAAGCAACUCUUCUUCAAACUCUCCAAAAUUCACAACUUUGUGGUUAAAGCUCAAAACCUUCAAAAUAACACAAAACUCAAUCAAAUCUUUGNNNNNNNNNNNNNNNNNNNNNNNNNNNNNNNNNNNNNNNNNNNNNNNNNNNNNNNNNNNNNNNNNNNNNNNNNNNNNNNNNNNNNNNNNNNNNNNNNNNNNNNNNNNNNNNNNNNNNNNNNNNNNNNNNNNNNNNNNNNNNNNNNNNNNNNNNNNNNNNNNNNNNNNNNNNNNNNNNNNNNNNNNNNNNNNNNNNNNNNNNNNNNNNNNNNNNNNNNNNNNNNNNNNNNNNNNNNNNNNNNNNNNNNNNNNNNNNNNNNNNNNNNNNNNNNNNNNNNNNNNNNNNNNNNNNNNNNNNNNNNNNNNNNNNNNNNNNNNNNNNNNNNNNNNNNNNNNNNNNNNNNNNNNNNNNNNNNNNNNNNNNNNNNNNNNNNNNNNNNNNNNNNNNNNNNNNNNNNNNNNNNNNNNNNNNNNNNNNNNNNNNNNNNNNNNNNNNNNNNNNNNNNNNNNNNNNNNNNNNNNNNNNNNNNNNNNNNNNNNNNNNNNNNNNNNNNNNNNNNNNNNNNNNNNNNNNNNNNNNNNNNNNNNNNNNNNNNNNNNNNNNNNNNNNNNNNNNNNNNNNNNNNNNNNNNNNNNNNNNNNNNNNNNNNNNNNNNNNNNNNNNNNNNNNNNNNNNNNNNNNNNNNNNNNNNNNNNNNNNNNNNNNNNNNNNNNNNNNNNNNNNNNNNNNNNNNNNNNNNNNNNNNNNNNNNNNNNNNNNNNNNNNNNNNNNNNNNNNNNNNNNNNNNNNNNNNNNNNNNNNNNNNNNNNNNNNNNNNNNNNNNNNNNNNNNNNNNNNNNNNNNNNNNNNNNNNNNNNNNNNNNNNNNNNNNNNNNNNNNNNNNNNNNNNNNNNNNNNNNNNNNNNNNNNNNNNNNNNNNNNNNNNNNNNNNNNNNNNNNNNNNNNNNNNNNNNNNNNNNNNNNNNNNNNNNNNNNNNNNNNNNNNNNNNNNNNNNNNNNNNNNNNNNNNNNNNNNNNNNNNNNNNNNNNNNNNNNNNNNNNNNNNNNNNNNNNNNNNNNNNNNNNNNNNNNNNNNNNNNNNNNNNNNNNNNNNNNNNNNNNNNNNNNNNNNNNNNNNNNNNNNNNNNNNNNNNNNNNNNNNNNNNNNNNNNNNNNNNNNNNNNNNNNNNNNNNNNNNNUUAUUCUAAUACUCUUAGAAUAGUAUUUCCAGUGUUUUACUUCUGUCCAUAUAAAAAAAAAAAUCAAAACAAGAAGAAAAAAAAAAGGAAAAAAAAAAGAAUUUCUGCCACUUUGGUUCAUUUGUUCAAACUUCAUUUUGAUUGAUAUCUACUGAUAUAAAUCAUAUUUCAUAUACCUUGAAUAUAUUUCUGGGCUUGGAAUUCGAAAUACAUGUUUAGGGUAGGUUUAGGACAAAUUUGGGUAGUAUUUUCACAAAACAGUUGUACUUAAUACUUGCUGUUUUAAGUGUCUAUUUUGUUUGUUUGAUUUGAAUUAAUUUUGUUGAGUCAAUAUUAAUAUCAGUUGACCUAGGAUUGCAUGCUUAGGGAAAAUUUCGUGUUAAGCACAUCCGUCUUGUCAAUUUUUGAUUCUUAGUUUGUCAAUUUGGUGUCUUUCUGUCUGUUGGUUCCUUACAUUUAGUUUGACAAAUUGCACAUUGUUGAACAUCUAAUUACACUUAGUACACGAAAUUUAACUUUUGUGUGCUAAAUCAAUCUAUUUGUUCAUUUUGGUCAGUUUGCAUCUAGUGUUGUUUCCUAUCUUUUCUUCUUAGGUCUUUCCUUGCUUUCCUUAUUAUUUGAAUCAUACAAGCUUGGCUUAUUGAGUCUUUAUUCUGAAGUGCACUUUUGAGAUACCAAGUGAGUGCUUGAAAAUUAAACACGUGAGUUGAAAGAAUUGUGAAUUUUUUUUUUCUAUAAUGUCUAGGCAUAAUACUGGUGAUACUUCUGACCCUACAUUUGAUCUUAAAGAUAUAUAUAAAGCUUUCAUGGAUAGCUUUUAGAAGCUAAAUUCGAGAAUGGAUAACCUUGAGGACAACCUUAGAUCUUCAAAGGGCAAGUCCAUUCAGAGGCAUGAUGAUACACACGAUCCAUCCUAUGAAGAGGAAAAUGAGGCACAAUCAGCCCCUGUCCGAGUCAGAAGGUUCAAUGAUGGUGUACCAUAUGUAGAUAACAAUAUGAACUCCAUAAAGAUGAAGAUUCCAAGCUUCAAUGGUAAGGCUGAUGUUGAUGCCUAUUUAGAGUGGAAGCAUAAAGUGGAGAUGGUUUUUAACUGUCAAAACUAUUCCGAUGAUAAAAAGGUAAAACUUGCUGCCCUUGAGUUUUCAGAUUAUGCACUAAUAUGGUGGGAUGAGCUUGUGAAAUCUAGGAGAAGGAAUGGAGAGUUACCCAUUGCUAGUUGGGAUGAGAUGAAGCGAAUAAUGAGGAAGAAAUAUGUGCCUACUUAUUACCAUAGAGAUCUCCAUCAUCAGUUGUAAAGACUAAUCCAAGGAUCAAAAUCUGUUGAUGAGUAUUAUAAGGAGAUGGAGUUGCUCCUGAUCAAAGCAAACAUAGUGGAGGAGGAAGACCAGACUAUGGCUCGUUUCUUUGGUGGUCUUAACAAGGAGAUUGCUGAUGUGGUUGAUUUGCAACCAUAUGUUGAUUUGGAAGACUUGGUGAACAUUACAAUUAAGGUGGAAAGACAAAGAGGUCGAAAUAGAUGGGGGAGCAAUAGGGCUGCUCAAAACUCCAACAGCAAAUGGGGUUCCAAAUGGAACACCAAGCCUGAUCCUAAAAGGUUUGAAAAGUCUUCAACUCAAAAAGGCAUGUUACCUUCCAAAGAAACAUCUAACUCUCAUGGUAAAAAUGAAUCAGCCCCUAAAUCAAAUAGAACUAGAGAUAUUCAGUGCUUUAAAUGUAAAGGGCGUGGGCAUUAUGCCAAUGAGUGUGCUAAUAAACGUGCUAUGAUAGUGAGGGGAGAUGAGAUAGUCUCCGAAAGUGAUUCUAAUUCUGAUGAAGUACCACCUUUAGAAGAUUGUUCUGAUGUAGAGAUAGAAGAGUAUCCUGUUCAAGGAGAGUCCUUAGUGAUAUUGCGUACUUUAAAUGUUUCUAUUAAAGAAGAGGGACUUGAACAGCGUGAAAACAUCUUUCACACUCGUUGUUUGGUAGGUGGUAAAGUCUGUAGCAUGAUAAUAGAUUUGGGUAGUCAAGUUAAUUGUGCUAGUACUAUUUUAGUUGAUAAAUUAGGACUAGAAACUAUUAAACACCCUAAUCCUUACAGACUUCAGUGGUUGAAUGAUAGCGGCGAGGCAAAGGUAACAAGCAAUGUAAAGUGUCAUUUUCUAUUGGCAAAUAUGUAGAUGAGGUUACUUGUGAUAUUGUACCCAUGCAGGCUGGACAUAUUUUGUUAGGUAGACCAUGGCAAUUUUAUAGGCGUGUCAUUCAUGAUGGGUAUAAUAAUAGGUUUUCUUUUACGUUCCUCGGUGUAAAACAUAUACUUGUACCAUUAUCUCCUAAAGAUGUAUAUGCAGAUCAAGUGAAAUUACAACAAUAUGCUAAAUUGGGUAAGGGAGGUGAGACAAGUAAAAAGAAUGAGGGAAAAGAGGCCAGCAGUAAAAUGAAAGUUUCGAAUGGCCCAAAGGAGAGUGACUGCACGGGAAAGGAUAAAAAUGAGAGAUGUGCAGGAGAGAAAACGUUAGUGAGUGUGGAGGUAAAAGGAGAGCUGAGUGAGAAGAGUGAAGAAUUCAACAAGUCUUCCUUUUAUUAUAAAGAGAGAGAGCUGAAGAAAGCAUACUUAGGGAAGAGAGCUUUGAUUAUAUUGCGUUUUAGUUCCAAUUUUAUGAUUGAGACUAACCCUACUGUUGAAUUGCCUAGUUCUUUUUCUAAGUUAUUGCAGGAGUUUGUGGAGGUAUUUCCUGAGGAGGUGCCAUCUGGGUUGCCACCCAUUAGGGGAAUAGAACAUCAAAUUGAUUUUGUUCCUAGAGCUCAGAUUUCAAACCGUCCAGCUUACCGUAGCAAUCCUGAGGAGACGAAGGAAUUGCAAAAGCAAGUUGAUGAGUUGCUAGCUAAGGGACAUAUCAGGGAGAGCCUUAGUCCAUGCGCAGUACCUGUUUUGUUGGUUCCAAAGAAAGAUGGAACAAUGCGCAUGUGUGUUGAUUGUCGUGCGAUCAACAAAAUCACUGUAAAGUAUCGCCAUCCUAUUCCUAGAUUAGAUGAUAUGCUUGAAGAAUUAUGUGGUGCUAUUUUCUUUACAAAAAUUGAUUUGAAAAGCGGUUAUCAUCAAAUUAGGAUGAAGUUAGGUGAUGAGUGGAAAACUGCCUUUAAGACAAAAUAUGGUUUAUAUGAAUGGUUAGUCAUGCCUUUUGGCUUAACUAAUGCAUCUAGCACAUUUAUGAGAUUGAUGAACCAUGUUUUGCGUGAUUACCUAGGUAAGUUUAUGGUUGUGUAUUUUGAUGAUAUAUUGAUUUAUAGCCGAAACAUAGAUGACCACAUUAGGCAUGUUGAACUUGUUUUACAGAAGUUGCGUGAACAUGAAUUGUAUGCUAAUCUUAAGAAAUGCACAUUUUGUACUGAUAGUGUCAUAUUCCUAGGAUUUAUUAUUAGUUCACGUGGAGUUGAGGUAGAUAUUGAAAAGGUUAAGGCUAUCCAAGAAUGGCUUACACCUAAGAAUGCUAAUGAGGUGAGAUCCUUUCAUGGAUUAGCAAGCUUCUAUAGGAGGUUUGUUAGAGAUUUCAGCACUAUUGCUGCACCUCUAAAUGAGAUUAUUAAAAAGGCUGUUGGGUUUAAGUGGGGUAAAGAACAGGAACUUGCAUUUAACACAUUGAAAGAAAAACUUACUACCGCUCCUGUUUUAAGGUUACCUGCUUUUUCUAAAACCUUUGAAAUUGAAUGUGAUGCUUCUGGGAUUGGUAUUGGUGCUGUUCUUAUGCAGGAAGGCCAACCCAUAGCAUAUUUUAGUGAGAAGUUAGGUGGCACACAAUUGAACUAUUCCACCUAUGACAAAGAGUUCUAUGCACUGAUUAGGGCUCUUGAAGUUUGGGACCACUACUUGCUGCCUAAUGAGUUUGUGAUUCAUACCGACCAUCAGUCUGUCAAACACUUGAAGGGACAAGGGAAGUUGAACAAGCGGUAUGGUAAGUGGGUUGAAUAUCUUGAAAUCUUUCCUUAUGUGAUUAAAUAUAAGCAAGGUAAAGAGAAUGUGAUUGCCGAUGCAUUAUCUAGACGUUAUGCAUUGACUUCCAUGCUUAGUUCUAAGUUGUUAGGAUUUGAGCAUUUGAAAGAUAUGUAUGAGAAUGAUACUGAUUUUUCUGAUGUAUUUAAGGCAUGUGAACAUGGGGCAUUUAAAAAGUUUUAUUUGCAUGAUGGGUUUCUUUUUAGAGGGAAACAAAUAUGCAUACCUAAUUGUACAGUGCGUGAGUUGCUUGUUAGAGAAUCACAUUCAGGAGGAUUAAUGGGACAUUUUGGUGUGCAAAAGACUUUAGACAUGUUGAAUGAACACUUUUAUUGGCCUAACAUGCGAAAAUAUGUAGAGAAAAUUUAUGCUCAAUGCUUUGCAUGUAAACAGGCUAAAUCUAAGUCCUUGCCACAUGAGUUGUAUACUCCUUUGCUUGUACCUACUAAACCUUGGACUGAUAUAUCUAUGGAUUUUGUGAUAGGUUUACCUAGGACAAAAAGAGGUAGAGAUUCAGUGUUUGUUAUUGUAGAUCGCUUUAGCAAGAUGGCACAUUUUAUUCCAUGUCAUAAAACUGAUGAUGCAACGAACAUAGCUGAUUUGUUUUUCAGGGAAGUAGUCCGUUUGCAUGGUAUACCUAGGACUAUUGUUUCUGAUAGAGAUUCUAAGUUCCUUAAUCAUUUCUGGCGUGUUUUGUGGGGGAAAUUGGGUACUAAACUUUUAUUUUCUACUACUUGUCAUCCACAAACAGAUGGCCAAACUGAAGUUGUUAAUAGGACUUUAGGAACUAUGCUUCGUGCUAUUGUGGGUAGGAACUUGAAAACUUGGGAAGAAUGUUUGCCAUAUGUUGAAUUUGCUUAUAAUCGAGCAGUCCAUUCUUCUACUGGUUAUUCACCUUUUGAGGUUGUGUAUGGUUUUAAUCCAUUAACUGUACUAGAUUUAAUGCCUUUACCUUUGAACGAGUUGUCUAAUUUAGAUGGAAAAGCGAAGGCUGAAAUGGUUAAAUCAAUACACGUGAAAGCGCGUGAGCAUAUUGAGAAGCGUAACAGCAUAUAUGAGAAACAGGCCAAUAAGGGUCGCAAGAAAGUUGUAUUCAAACAGGGUGAUUGGGUUUGGAUCCAUAUGCGAAAGGAAAGGUUUUCAACUCAAAGGAAAUCAAAACUCGAUGCACGAGGGGAUGGACCAUAUCAAGUGCUGAAACAGAUCAAUGACAAUGCAUACAUAAUUGAUCUGCCAGGUGAGUUUGGUGUAAGUGCUACCUUUAAUGUUUCUGAUUUGUCUCCUUUUGAUUUUGGUACAGAUUCGAGGACGAAUCCUUUUCAAGAGGGAGGGGAUGAUGUAAGCACGACCAACAACACCAAAAAUGAUGAGCUAGCAUUGCCUCAAGGAGCAAUUACAAGGCUGAGAUCCAAGAGGUUGAAGGAAGCACUUCAAGGAUUCAUGAAGGAAUAUGUUGAAGCUUUGCAAGUUCAUUUUGAAGUUGAAGAACAAUCUGGUCAUUCCAAGUCAAUUAGGCCAAAUGUGUCCUUAUUGACAAUUCAAAUUUUGUAUUUAU
Molecule: long non-coding RNA, 30086 nt
Filed under: Manihot esculenta (cassava)
Lineage: Eukaryota; Viridiplantae; Streptophyta; Magnoliopsida; Malpighiales; Euphorbiaceae
Description: long non-coding RNA (MESC_LNC007968)
Source: RNAcentral